This 2051-nucleotide ribosomal RNA is filed under the name Candidatus Allofontibacter communis. RNAcentral's name for it is "partial 23S ribosomal RNA". It matches the Rfam family "Bacterial large subunit ribosomal RNA", at positions 1 to 1885 of the family's 2925-position model. The record is from RNAcentral. Lineage: Bacteria; Pseudomonadati; Pseudomonadota; Alphaproteobacteria; Candidatus Pelagibacterales; Candidatus Pelagibacteraceae.
AACAAAUUAAUAAGUGCAAAUGGCGGAUGCCUAGGCACCAGAAGCCGAUGAAGGUCGUAGGAGGCUGCGAAAAGCCUCGGGGAGCCGCCAACCAGGCUUCGAUCCGAGGAUUACCGAAUGGGGAAACCCGGCUGGAGUAAUGUCCAGUCAUUUCUCUCUGAAUAAAUAGGAGAGUCAAAGGUAACGAGGGGAAGUGAAACAUCUCAGUACCCUCAGGAAGAGAAAACAACCGUGAUUCCGUUAGUAGUGGCGAGCGAAAGCGGAAGAGGCUAAACCAAUCAUGUGCCAAGCCGGCAGGCGUUGCAUGAUCGGUGUCGUGGGACUAAAUCGAAUCAACUGCCGUUAAUUCAACAAGUCAGAAAAUAAUGAAAUAGAUGAAGGACGUGGGAAAGUCCGGCAUAGAAGGUGAGACCCCUGUAGUCGAAAUUUCAUUAUCUUGUUUUUAGUAUCCCAAGUAAUACCGGACUCGUGUAAUCCGGUAUGAAUCUGGCGGGACCACCCGCUAAGCCUAAAUACUCUCUGGUGACCGAUAGUGAACAAGUACCGUGAGGGAAAGGUGAAAAGAACCCCGCAAGGGGAGUGAAAUAGAAUCUGAAACCGUUUGCAUACAAACCGUUGGAGCUGCCUUGUGCAGUGACAGCGUGCCUUUUGAAGAAUGAGUCUACGAGUUAGUGUGAUGUAGCAAGGUUAACCCGUCGAGGGGAAGCCGUAGCGAAAGCGAGUCUGAAUAGGGCGAAUAAGUUGCAUCAUCUAAACCCGAAGCGAGGUGAUCUCGCCAUGACCAGGUUGAAGCGCGGGUAAGACCGCGUGGAGGACCGAACCCACUAAAGUUGAAAAUUUAGGGGAUGAGUUGUGGCUAGGGGUGAAAGACCAAUCAAACUUCGUGAUAGCUGGUUCUCUCCGAAAUGCAUUUAGGUGCAGCGUUACGUGUUUCUUACCGGAGGUAGAGCUACUGGAUGGUCGAGGGGCCCUACAAGGUUACCAACAUCAGCCAAACUCCGAAUGCCGGUAAGUGAGAACGUAGCAGUGAGACAGUGGGGGAUAAUCUUCAUUGUCGAGAGGGAAACAACCCAGAGUAGCAACUAAGGUCCCAAAGCGUGUGCUAAGUGGAAAAGGAUGUGAAGUCGCAUAGACAACCAGGAGGUUGGCUUAGAAGCAGCCACCCUUAAAAAAGUGCGUAAUAGCUUACUGGUCAAGUGAUUUCGCGCCGACAAUGUAACGGGGCUCAAGCACACCACCGAAGUUCUAUCAUUCACACACUAUCCCGGUCGUAAGAUCCAGGAGUGUGGAUGGGUAGGAGAGCGUCGUGUAGCUGGCGAAGCGGCGGAGGAAUCCAGCCGUGGAAGCUACACGAGUGAGAAUGUAGACAUGAGUAGCGAGAGUUGGGUGAGAAACCCAACCGCCGAAAGACCAAGGGUUCCUGGGCCAGGCUAAUCCGCCCAGGGUAAGUCGGGACCUAAGACGAGGCCGUCAGGCGUAGUCGAUGGACAACGGGUUGAUAUUCCCGUACCCGCGUAAGUUCGUCCCUGACGAACCUCCUAAUGCUAAGUUUUCGAAGCGUUAUUGGCGUAAGUCGAUGGCGUGGAGGGAACGACCCGGUGGAGUAGUAGUCAAGCAAUGGUGUGACACAGGAAGGUAGUCCAGCCCGGGCGAUGGUUGUCCCGGGGUAAGAGUGUAGGGAGUUAUGUAGGCAAAUCCGCAUAACGUUUAACUGAGACUUGAUGCCGAGCCGAAUGGCGAAGUGGAUGAUCCUAUGCUGUCAAGAAAAGCAUCUAGCGAGAACUUAAGUGGCCCGUACCCGAAACCGACACAGGUGGUCAGGUAGAGAAUACCAAGGCGAUCGAGAGAAUCGUGGAUAAGGAACUCGGCAAAAUACCCCCGUAACUUCGGGAGAAGGGGGGCCAAUUUACGUGUAGGAGUUUUCCUCCGAAGCGUGAGUCGGCCGCAGAGACUAGGCUCAAGCGACUGUUUACCAAAAACACAGGUCCGUGCGAAGUUGCAAAACGAUGUAUACGGACUGACGCCUGCCCGGUGCUGGAAGGUUAAGGGGA